Molecule: ribosomal RNA, 493 nt
Filed under: uncultured bacterium
Lineage: Bacteria
Description: partial 16S ribosomal RNA
Rfam family: Bacterial small subunit ribosomal RNA
Source: RNAcentral
AUUGAACGCUGGCGGCAUGCCUUACACAUGCAAGUCGAGCGGUAACAGGUUAAGCUGACGAGUGGCGAACGGGUGAGUAAUGUAUCGGAACGUGCCCAGUUGUGGGGGAUAACUGCUCGAAAGAGCAGCUAAUACCGCAUACGACCUGAGGGUGAAAGCGGGGGAUCGCAAGACCUCGCGCAAUUGGAGCGGCCGAUAUCAGAUUAGGUAGUUGGUGGGGUAAAGGCUCACCAAGCCGACGAUCUGUAGCUGGUCUGAGAGGACGGCCAGCCAAACUGGGACUGAGACACGGCCCAGACUCCUACGGGAGGCAGCAGUGGGGAAUUUUGGACAAUGGGCGCAAGCCUGAUCCAGCCAUGCCGCGUGCGGGAAGAAGGCCUUCGGGUUGUAAACCGCUUUUGUCAGGGAAGAAACGCUCUGGGUUAAUACCCUGGGGUAAUGACGGUACCUGAAGAAUAAGCACCGGCUAACUACGUGCCAGCCGCCGCCGUAA